GCCCGCCUAGCUCAAUCGGUAGAGCGUCAGACUCUUAUCCCUCUACAGUCCUGUAGUUUCGGCAUCUGAAGGCUGUGGGUUCGACCCCCACGGUGGGCU
Pterulicium gracile is the source of this 99-nucleotide non-coding RNA. NCBI's taxonomy places the organism in Eukaryota, Fungi, Basidiomycota, Agaricomycetes, Agaricales, Pterulaceae. The record is from the annotation of a GenBank genome assembly.